Molecule: ribosomal RNA, 775 nt
Filed under: uncultured Neocallimastigales
Lineage: Eukaryota; Fungi; Neocallimastigomycota; Neocallimastigomycetes; Neocallimastigales
Description: partial large subunit ribosomal RNA
Rfam family: Eukaryotic large subunit ribosomal RNA
Source: RNAcentral
ACACGCAUGACACACUGCAUAUCAAUAAGCGGAGGAAAAGAAACUAACAAGGAUUCCCUUAGUAACGGCGAGUGAAGCGGGAAGAGCUCAAAUUUGAAAUCUUCAAGGUUCUACCUUGACGAAUUGUAGUUUAUAGAAGUGUUUUCUGUUAGUGGAGUGGCAAAAGUUCUUUGGAGUAGGACAUCAUAGAGGGUGAGAAUCCCGUAUUUGGUCAUUCCUCUCUAGCUUUGUGAUACACUUUCAACGAGUCGGAUUGUUUGGGAAUGCAGUCCAAAAUGGGUGGUAAAUUUCAUCUAAAGCUAAAUAUUGGCGAGAGACCGAUAGCGAACAAGUACCGUGAGGGAAAGAUGAAAAGAACUUUGAAAAGAGAGUUAAACAGUACGUGAAAUUGUCAAAAGGGAAGCGUUUGACACCAGUGUUGUUUUUCCGAAAAUCAAUUACGAAUGUUUUAGUUUUUGAGGAGUUAUGACUUCAUCGGCUUGCUUCUCUCUUUAUGAAACUUUCUUAAUGCACUUUUCGGUUAACAAGUCAACAUCAAUUUCUUUUGUUGUAAAAGGGUACGAGGAAGGUGGCUUUCUUUUCGGAGAAAGUGUUUAUAGCCUUGUACCUCUGCAAUCGGAGAGAUUGAGGUCUGCAGCGUAGAUCCUUCGGGGUUAAAUACAUUUGUGCUAAGCUAUAGCUUUUUAUAGACAACUUGUUGACUAUAUUUAGUCUUGUGGCUUACUCGCUUAUGCUAUUUUACCUACGCUUAGGAUGUUGACUGAUAUGUAGUCGU